Non-coding RNA from Vibrio sp. N418, 120 nucleotides. NCBI's taxonomy places the organism in Bacteria, Pseudomonadati, Pseudomonadota, Gammaproteobacteria, Vibrionales, Vibrionaceae. The record is from Rfam.
AGCCUAACAGUAAUGACCACAACCAUUAUUAUGACCAGCACAAUACGCGUUGGGGCAGGCUGCUGAGCGAAAAAUUUUCAAAAAAAAGGCCUGUAUCCACAAGAUACAGGCCUUUUUUUA